Molecule: long non-coding RNA, 1025 nt
Filed under: Astyanax mexicanus (Mexican tetra)
Lineage: Eukaryota; Metazoa; Chordata; Actinopteri; Characiformes; Acestrorhamphidae
Description: lncRNA (ENSAMXG00005009414.1)
Source: RNAcentral
AUGAAGCUCCUACUGGUGAGUCUACAGGCCGGACUGGGAGCACUGGGGGAGCUGGGCCGCGGUUUGGUUAUACGGGGGAAUCUCAGUUAUGUCCUUUAUGUUUAUCUUUACAGAGAGCAUGAACUCCCCCGUCUCCCCCGACCAGCCCAACGAUGAGCCUCAGACUAAUAACGGAGCCACAGCAGAAGCGAGCAGCUCCAGUGCAGAGGCGGGACAGGCCACCGGGCCUCAAGUUAAUGAUGUGACAACAGCUGAUGGAACGAAAUCCAGCACUGAAGAACAAGAGGAGAACGAGAGUCCGGAGUCGGAGGAGGCGGUGAAAGCCGCUCCGGUUCAGCGCAACACGAAGUCCAACAACCCUGCGCCGCGCAAACGCAGCAAACCCGUCGCCGCGUCCAAGAAGAGGACGCGGUCCUUCCGCCCGUGAGAUCGGCAGCGCCGCGGGAGGACGCAGACGCUACUACUGAUACCAAGCCAAGAGCACGAGGGCAGAAACACUGCUGUAUCCAGUGGCAUUUCCAUCUGUUCUGAUUAAAUAACCACGAAAUUAGGCCUGAUUCUGUUGGGAUGUACUGUAUUGGGUGUUGUUUCAUUGUUUGUUUGUUUGUUUGUUUGUCUGGUCACUCGUUUUGUGGUGCUGACAAUUUCAGGUCAAGAAGGUAAAACUCCGCCCCGGGAUUUUGGUUAGACUUGUUCGCUGCAGCCGAGCCGCCCAGGGCAGAAUGAAGUCUAGGUGAAAUCCCGGGGCGGAGUUUUACUUUCCGGACCGGAUCUGCCGUGGCACUCAGAGCAGACACAGCACAGUCUGAAGGGCAUUUCACCCUCACGUCACAGAAUCCAAACCCAGACCACCCCUCCACCCCCUGACCGGACCCGACCCAUCCGCCCCGACCCGAACGCUCAGCAGGUCUCAGAGUCCCGCUCAGACGCUCCGUUUCACUGGUGCUGGCUGCCCGAGGGCCGAGUGCCCAGAGCGGCCGUAGCUUUUAGAUAAAUAGAGAAAAAUAAAAAAGUAAUAAACCGCA